Molecule: ribosomal RNA, 429 nt
Filed under: bacterium
Lineage: Bacteria
Description: partial 16S ribosomal RNA
Rfam family: Bacterial small subunit ribosomal RNA
Source: RNAcentral
UAGGGAAUCUUCCACAAUGGACGCAAGUCUGAUGGAGCAACGCCGCGUGAGUGAAGAAGGUUUUCGGAUCGUAAAGCUCUGUUGUUGGUGAAGAAGGAUAGAGGCAGUAACUGGUCUUUAUUUGACGGUAAUCAACCAGAAAGUCACGGCUAACUACGUGCCAGCAGCCGCGGUAAUACGUAGGUGGCCAGCGUUGUCCGGAUUUAUUGGGCGUAAAGCGAGCGCAGGCGGAAUGAUAAGUCUGAUGUGAAAGCCCACGGCUCAACCGUGGAACUGCAUCGGAAACUGUCAUUCUUGAGUGCAGAAGAGGAGAGUGGAAUUCCAUGUGUAGCGGUGGAAUGCGUAGAUAUAUGGAAGAACACCAGUGGCGAAGGCGGCUCUCUGGUCUGCAACUGACGCUGAGGCUCGAAAGCAUGGGUAGCGAACAGG